GUGAAACUAGUAGGUGGAGAAAAAGAAGGUCUCGGUCAUAGUCAUAACAGGUGAAUGUGAACGAAGAAGAGCUGAGUGAAAGAAAGAGACAGCGAUUUCAACCGGAGGUGGAGAGCAUCGCUUUGUUUUGGGAUUGGGUUGUGGAGUGCAUCUUCUGGAAUUGCGUUGAGACAAGUAGGAGAGCUCCAGAGUUUUCAAAUAUCAAAAUUUGCCAGGACAACUCCCACCAGAGUUGAUCAGGCUCCCCUAUCUCCAAGAAAUUGACCUCUCCCGCAACUGCCUGAAUAGUACUAUCCUCCAGAAUGGUGCCCUAACAUGUACAAGAAUGGAGUGGUAGUGUUAUGCAGACCACGCAGAGAACCAAAAUGGGGAGCAUAAUGGUCCUAUGCUUCAUCUUCUUUUCAUGCUAUUCAUGAGCUUUGCUCUUCUUCGCUAGCUAGCUGCGACCUUGGUCAACACGCUACAUUAAUGAGGUAUAUAAUCGACUGUCAAAGUUUUAAGUGCUGAAUUAUUAAAUUAUCCUUAAAACUAGUUCGAUCUUGUUCAUUUAGAUUGCUCUAAAUUCAUUUUUUUUUCCUAGAUAAGUUCUUUUUUGGACAAGGACCUGGACUUUUGGACAAGGACUUUCAUGGUUAAUGUAGUCAUGGUCAUCUUUA
Rosa rugosa (rugosa rose) is the source of this 656-nucleotide long non-coding RNA. RefSeq lists it as uncharacterized. NCBI's taxonomy places the organism in Eukaryota, Viridiplantae, Streptophyta, Magnoliopsida, Rosales, Rosaceae. The record is from RefSeq and is a predicted model, not a curated record. The transcript has 4 exons.